This 254-nucleotide ribosomal RNA is filed under the name uncultured bacterium. RNAcentral describes it as "partial 16S ribosomal RNA". It matches the Rfam family "Bacterial small subunit ribosomal RNA", at positions 524 to 776 of the family's 1533-position model. The record is from RNAcentral.
UACAGAGGGGGCUAGCGUUAUUCGGAAUCACUGGGCGUAAAGCGCACGUAGGCGGACUCUUAAGUCGGUGGUGAAAUCCUGGAGCUCAACUCCAGAACUGCCUUCGAUACUGGGAGUCUUCGAGUCCGGGAGAGGUGAGUGGAACUGCGAGUGUAGAGGUGAAAUUCGUAGAUAUUCGCAAGAACACCAGUGGCGAAGGCGGCUCACUGGCCCGGUACUGACGCUGAGGUGCGAAAGCGUGGGGAGCGAUCCGG